GGCCUGCGUAGACCCGUCCCUUUCAACCGCUGUCAGGAAACUGUGUGGACGAGGAAUCCCUGCUGGUCGCGCCCGAGACCAUCUCUCUGCGUCUCCUAGAAGGGGAAACCGUGACCCACAUCAAACUGUGGCCGUUGGAAAGGUGUUUAGGGAACAUUGUUCAGACUGGAAGGAAGAGCCACGUGAAAAUGCCCUUUCUGUUUACUCUGCUGGGAAG
Molecule: long non-coding RNA, 217 nt
Filed under: Homo sapiens (human)
Lineage: Eukaryota; Metazoa; Chordata; Mammalia; Primates; Hominidae
Description: HSALNT0246030
Source: RNAcentral